GCCAUGUCAUCGCCUUCGAAUCUACCACCCUUAGAAUUAAUUAAGAGACAGGUGAGAGAGUGGAAUGCCAUUGCGAGGGAUGCUCGUUGAAGGUACUUAGCCCAUGAAAGAAAAAGAGCUAGAUGGGCUUGCGCAUCCACUUCUCAUGGGGCUCCGCCUCCUUUGCCUCCUACAACCAAUCUUCUCCAUCAGCUUGAGCACAUCCUGCCUACAGUCCGGGAGUGCUCCAUUGUGGAG
Molecule: long non-coding RNA, 237 nt
Filed under: Elaeis guineensis (African oil palm)
Lineage: Eukaryota; Viridiplantae; Streptophyta; Magnoliopsida; Arecales; Arecaceae
Description: long non-coding RNA (EGUI_LNC043064)
Source: RNAcentral